Molecule: long non-coding RNA, 2115 nt
Organism: Mizuhopecten yessoensis (Yesso scallop)
Lineage: Eukaryota; Metazoa; Mollusca; Bivalvia; Pectinida; Pectinidae
Exons: 4
Source: RefSeq, a predicted model, not a curated record
CAGGAGGUGUUUGUUUGCAUUGUGAUUGGAUAAGAGGACUUCCGUUAUUGUUGUCCAGACUGCCUUGGCAACGAACACUAGACACUUGUUAUGAGGUCUGUAUUAUAUCCAUUACUGAUAGCAGCCACAACACACGAGACGCCUUACAAAGACCAAUAUGAAAUUGACGUGUUUCGUGCUAGCGGCAGUGUUCGGAACCGUCGUUUCCACAACAAACGAUACUUAUACGACAACAACAACGUCAAUACCAUCAACAACAGGUGCGCCUUCAACAACACCUCAAGCGUCGACCUCAAGUAGAGGUACAUCUUCGUCUUCAAUUGCAACUAUAACUACGUCUAUACCAUCCACAACAAAAACUAGAUCCCUGUCAUCAGAAACAACCAAGACAACACCAACUACUACCUCAGCACCAGCUACAACUUCAGAACUUGCUGAUACAACAAUACUAGCUAAUACAACAACACCAGGAAAUACAACAACACCAGGAAAUACAACAACACCAGGAUAUACAACAACACCAGAUUACAGUGGAUCCACUAACUAUGGGCUGUCCCCACUACUCCUGUUGUCUGGACUUAUAAUCACGACGUUCCUGUAUUCGUGAUUGGGACCUAACAGACAGAGUGGUUGAUAUUCUGAUGACAGAGACUUCGCCUUAUAAGAAAAUGACGGAUUACAGCCACUUUCAGUUUUAAGUUCGCAAGCAAUGGAUCUCCUGGCAAUAAAUGCUAUAUGAUUGUACGUUAUUAUGCUGAACUGUAAAUAUGUUCAAUUUAAUUGAUAGGGCUUUGGUAAUAUUAACUUCACAUAUGCAUAAAGUAUACCAUUGAUAACUGUGUUAGAUAUAUCGUGAUUUUGUCCAUUGUAUGUAUAAUACAUUGUAUUUCAAAUGGUGCACUGUAUGUCGAACAUUGUCUACGAUUAAUUUUGAUUUCACUCGCUCACUCACUCAUGCAACCACAUACUUAUACACUCACUCACUCAUUUACCCGCCCAUUUACCCACGCAUCCACUCAUCCACUCCUUGAUUCACUCACUUAUCCACUCACCCACUUAUACACCUACUUAUACACUCACUCACUCAUUUACCCGCCCAUUUACCCACCCAUCCACUCAUCCACUCCUUGAUUCACUCACUUAUCCACUCACCCACUUAUACACUCACUUAUACACUCACUCACCCAUUCACUCAUCACUCGACAUUCACUUCUAUUUGACUUAUAAUGUUCCAGAACGUGUUUAUUAACAAGUAUGUAGAGUAAAGGCUUAAAUCUGGGUAAAGUCAACGCUUCCAAAAAAAAGAGUUAAAGAUUAGUCUACCAACGACGUUUUGUAAUCGUGUAGGUGAAAAGUAAAAAAAUCAUAAAUGUCUCGUCUGCAUAUUAUAAUGAAUUACUUGAUUUGAACGUUCAAUAUAUAAUCUGUAUGAUUUCUUUGCCUAUAUACUAGCAUAUACAUUUAUGAAAAAAAACACUUAUUUUUGGGGGAUAAACUAAUUGCAAAAUUAUUAUUGAUAUAUAAUCGAAAUUUCGAUAUGAUUAUUUUGUCGCCUUUGGACUAUGUUCGAAGUAGUAUAGAUAUUGAAAAAUGAAAGUUAUAGCGAUUUGAAUUAAGUCAAUAAUAGUCGUUUCAUUAUCAUUAAUAUUUGUUUAUUUAUUUACUUGAUUUUACGACAAAUUUUUCCGUUUUUGCAAACUAAUGUUUUACCUAAAAAAACUUGUUAACGUAAGGGGAGAUAAUCGUUCAGUUGCCAAUUUUGUAAAGGUUUGUAUAUACUGUUGCUAGUUUCAGGAGCCGUAGCUCGUUAUUAUCCGAUUAAUCAAUAUUUAAAAAAGGUUUUAGUAUCAUCUGACUUAAAAGGAUUGUUUCAAGAUUAUUAAAAUAGUACGCCUUUAAAGUAGAAUUAAUAUCGUUGCGCUAUGGUGGAAAAAGCCCAUUCGGACACUGGCACGUCAUUCGUUAAUUGUAAUUACAGUUUUACAGUAUUACAGUUGUAAGAGGAAGUAUGUACAGACUAUUCAUUAUUAGGAUACAAUCAUAAUUGAUGGCAAUUGAAUUGCUGUUUUAACUAAUAUAUUAUUUUAAAUGCUUUUAAUAAUUAAAAUUGAUGCA